Molecule: non-coding RNA, 775 nt
Organism: Amborella trichopoda
Lineage: Eukaryota; Viridiplantae; Streptophyta; Magnoliopsida; Amborellales; Amborellaceae
Source: RefSeq, a predicted model, not a curated record
CAAACGGCUGAGGAGUGUCAUCUCUUCUGAGUACAACUCCCAUUGUCACUUGCUUAUUCAGAUUUACGGAACGAGAGAGAGGGAGACGCGUAUCAGCAUUCGGGAAACUUUUGCCUAUUCAGAUUAGAGAGAGAAAGAAGCGUUUUAGCAUUCGGGAAACUUUUGAGGCGUCUAGGUCGCCAUUGAUUGAGCUUGAGAAGCUCGUGGAUCUGGAUCUGAGGAAUGGUGACCAUUCUGGUGGCCUUGGUUUUGGGAGUGUUGUUGGGAGCUGUUUUCCUUAUCCCACUUGUUAUCAAGCCUGGUAAAUCUCAAGUUACUCAACCAACCAUCUCCACUAAAGUAUAUCGUUUUGGAUAAAAGAAGAAAGAAGUCUAUUCAAACUACACAUUUAAUUACCAAAUACCAAUAGAUAGAGUUCAAUAACCAUAUGGUUUAAUUGCUACACCAAAUGGACUCAUUGGUCCUACUUAUCAGGGUCCCAGGAGCUACACAAAAGCUGAGGUUGCUUUGCAUAGCACGAGGAAAGGCUGUUGGAUCAAUGUAAAAGAUGAGGUUCAAACUGAUGUCAUUUGAAAUUUAAGAUAUUCGUCUCUCUAUCUCUCCCCGUAUAUGCGUCUCUGUCCGUGUCUCUCUCUGUCUCUGUCUCUCUCUCUCUCUCCCCUGGGGGGGCCAAACUCUCUCUCUCUUAGUUAUAUUCAUUGAUCUUGUAUCAGUAAUAAAUAACUUUGAGGUUUUAUUGCAAGUCUAUGAUGUUACAUCAUAUCUGGAGGAGCAU